AUCCUUUUGUAUUUCAUAAGCAUGACGAUUGGGUUUCACGCGCAUCCGUGAGAUGUGCCUCCCUUAAUCCUUGUUAGGAUGUCAGCAUAUUACCCGUCUGACA
This is a small nucleolar RNA of Lemur catta (Ring-tailed lemur), 103 nucleotides long. RefSeq annotates it as small nucleolar RNA U13. The record is from RefSeq and is a predicted model, not a curated record. The transcript has a single exon. NCBI's taxonomy places the organism in Eukaryota, Metazoa, Chordata, Mammalia, Primates, Lemuridae.